Molecule: ribosomal RNA, 1281 nt
Filed under: metagenome
Description: bacterial LSU rRNA
Rfam family: Bacterial large subunit ribosomal RNA
Source: RNAcentral
CGGUUCCAGGAAAUAGCUCCAUCGAUAUUGACCGUACCCUAAACCGACACAGGUGGACUGGUAGAGUAUACCAAGGCGCUUGAGAGAACUAUACUGAAGGAACUCGGCAAAUUGCAUGCGUAACUUCGGGAUAAGCAUGACUUCUAUCGGGGCAACCCUUUAGGAGUGGCACAAAAGAGGGGGUGGCGACUGUUUACUAAAAACACAGGGCUCUGCGAAGUUGCAAAACGACGUAUAGGGUCUGACGCCUGCCCGGUGCCGGAAGGUUAAAAGGAGGGGUUAACGCCCUGAAUUGAAGCCCCGGUAAACGGCGGCCGUAACGAUAACGGUCCUAAGGUAGCGAAAUUCCUUGUCGGGUAAGUUCCGACCUGCACGAAUGGCGUAACGACUUCCCCACUGUCUCCAGUAUAGACUCAGCGAAAUUGAAUUCCCCGUGAAGAUGCGGGGUUCCUGCGGUCAGACGGAAAGACCCCAUGCACCUUUACUAUAGCUUUACGCUGGCAUUUGUGUCGGCAUGUGCAGGAUAGGUGGUAGGCUUUGAAGCAGGGACGCUAGUUUCUGUGGAGCCGCAAGAUGAGAUACCACCCUUAUCGUCAUAGAUGUCUAACCGCGGCAUAACAGUGUCCGGGACAGCGUAUGGUGGGUAGUUUGACUGGGGCGGUCGCCUCCCAAAGAGUAACGGAGGCGCGCGAUGGUGGGCUCAGACCGGUCGGAAAUCGGUCGCUGAGUGCAAUGGCAUAAGCCUGCCUGACUGCGAGAUCGACAGAUCGAGCAGAGACGAAAGUCGGUCAUAGUGAUCCGGUGGUCCCGCGUGGAAGGGCCAUCGCUCAACGAAUAAAAGGUACGCUGGGGAUAACAGGCUGAUGAUGCCCAAGAGUCCAUAUCGACGGCAUCGUUUGGCACCUCGAUGUCGGCUCAUCACAUCCUGGGGCUGGAGCAGGUCCCAAGGGUAUGGCUGUUCGCCAUUUAAAGUGGUACGUGAGCUGGGUUUAGAACGUCGUGAGACAGUUCGGUCCCUAUCUGCCGUGGGUGUAGGAAUAUUGAGAAGAGCUGACCCUAGUACGAGAGGACCGGGUUGGACGAAUCUCUGGUGGACCUGUUGUGGCGCCAGCCGCAUUGCAGGGUAGCUAAAUUCGGACGGGAUAACUGCUGAAAGCAUCUAAGCAGGAAGCCUCCUUCAAAACUAGUAUUCCCUUGAGAGCCGUGGAAGACCACCACGUCGAUAGGCCGGGUGUGGAAGCGUAGCAAUAUGUGAAGCUUACCGGUACUAAUAGCUCGAAA